This 583-nucleotide ribosomal RNA is filed under the name uncultured Caulobacter sp. Its description in RNAcentral is "bacterial SSU rRNA". It matches the Rfam family "Bacterial small subunit ribosomal RNA", at positions 28 to 657 of the family's 1533-position model. The record is from RNAcentral. Lineage: Bacteria; Pseudomonadati; Pseudomonadota; Alphaproteobacteria; Caulobacterales; Caulobacteraceae.
AGCGAACGCUGGCGGCAGGCCUAACACAUGCAAGUCGAACGGACCCUUCGGGGUUAGUGGCGGACGGGUGAGUAACACGUGGGAACGUGCCCUUUGGUUCGGAACAACACAGGGAAACUUGUGCUAAUACCGGAUAAGCCCUUCGGGGGAAAGAUUUAUUGCCAUUGGAGCGGCCCGCGUUGGAUUAGGUAGUUGGUGAGGUAAAGGCUCACCAAGCCUGCGAUCCAUAGCUGGUCUGAGAGGAUGAUCAGCCACAUUGGGACUGAGACACGGCCCAAACUCCUACGGGAGGCAGCAGUGGGGAAUCUUGCGCAAUGGGCGAAAGCCUGACGCAGCCAUGCCGCGUGAAUGAUGAAGGUCUUAGGAUUGUAAAAUUCUUUCAGCGGGGACGAUAAUGACGGUACCCGCAGAAGAAGCCCCGGCUAACUUCGUGCCAGCAGCCGCAGUAAUACGAAGGGGGCUAGCGUUGCUCGGAAUUACUGGGCGUAAAGGGAGCGUAGGCGGAUAGUUUAGUCAGAGGUGAAAGCCCAGGGCUCAACCUUGGAAAUGCCUUUGAUACUGGCUAUCUUGAGUAUGGGAGAGG